UAAAUAAUUUAUGUGACAUGGAUUGUUUAAUAGUGAAAUUGAGUCCCAAAAGUUGUUUUCCAUUCAUCUCUUCUUCUUCUUCUUCUUCUUCUUCUUCUUCUCUUGAGUUGAUAUACUAAAUAUGUUGGAAGGUGCCUCUUAGUUUCCCAAAUAUAGAACUUACAUAGUAGGUGUCGUUGAAUCUGCAUUAGGCUAGGAGAUGUACGGAAAAGAACUUUUAAAACUCAAGAUCACUAUUAAAUAUUAGUUUUUAUUUUCGUGCCUUGAGAAUUUUGGUGACAU
RNAcentral lists this long non-coding RNA (282 nucleotides) under Carica papaya (papaya). RNAcentral describes it as "long non-coding RNA (CPAP_LNC006757)". The record is from RNAcentral. Lineage: Eukaryota; Viridiplantae; Streptophyta; Magnoliopsida; Brassicales; Caricaceae.